GACGUAGGGGGCGAGCGUUGUCCGGAAUUACUGGGCGUAAAGAGCACGUAGGCGGGAACCUAAGUCAGGUGUGAAAGACCGUGGCUCAACCACGGGGUGGCAUUUGAAACUGGGUUUCUUGAGGGCAGGAGAGGAAAGCAGAAUUCCUGGUGUAGCGGUGAAAUGCGUAGAAAUCAGGAGGAAUACCAGUGGCGAAGGCGGCUUUCUGGACUGACCCUGACGCUGAGGUGCGAAAGCGUGGGUAGCAAACAGGAUUAGAUACCCUGGUAGUCCCUGA
This 277-nucleotide ribosomal RNA is filed under the name uncultured prokaryote. RNAcentral's name for it is "partial 16S ribosomal RNA". It matches the Rfam family "Bacterial small subunit ribosomal RNA", at positions 524 to 800 of the family's 1533-position model. The record is from RNAcentral.